AGUGAACGCUGGCGGCGUGCUUAACACAUGCAAGUCGAACGAGAACGGAAUAUAGCUUGCUAUAUUUGUCAGCUAAGUGGCGCACGGGUGAGUAAUAUAUAGAUAACCUGCCCUUAAGAAAGGAAUAACAGUUGGAAACGACUGCUAAUGCCCUAUAUGCCUUUAAUACAUAAGUAUGCAAGGGAAACGCUUUAGUGCUUAAGGAUGGGUCUGUAUGGUAUCAGCUUGUUGGUGAGGUAAUGGCUCACCAAGGCUAUGACGCCUAACUGGUUUGAGAGGAUGAUCAGUCACACUGGAACUGAGACACGGUCCAGACUUCUACGGGAGGCAGCAGUGGGGAAUAUUGCACAAUGGACGAAAGUCUGAUGCAGCAACGCCGCGUGGAGGAUGACACAUUUCGGUGCGUAAACUCCUUUUAUAUAGGAAGAUAAUGACGGUACUAUAUGAAUAAGCACCGGCUAACUCCGUGCCAGCCGCCGCAGUAA
This 485-nucleotide ribosomal RNA is filed under the name uncultured bacterium. RNAcentral's name for it is "partial 16S ribosomal RNA". It matches the Rfam family "Bacterial small subunit ribosomal RNA", at positions 29 to 523 of the family's 1533-position model. The record is from RNAcentral.